GGUAUGUACUAGCCUGCCGAUUCCUCCUUCUUGUAGAACCGUAAUGCCAUUAAUUUGGUGUUGCGGGGAAACAGGACUGUUACUUUGAAAAAAUUAGAGUGUUUAAAGCAGGCUAGCGCCUGGAUACAUUAGCAUGGAAUAAUGAAAUAGGACGUUCGAACCUAUUUUGUUGGUUUCUAGGAUUGACGUAAUGAUUAAUAGGGAUAGUUGGGGGCAUUAGUAUUCAAUUGUCAGAGGUGAAAUUCUUGGAUUUAUUGAAGACUGACUACUGCGAAAGCAUUUGCCAAGGAUGUUUUCAUUAAUCAAGAACGAAAGUUAGGGGAUCGAAGACGAUCAGAUACCGUCGUAGUCUUAACCAUAAACUAUGCCGACUAGGGAUCGGAUGAUGUUAAUUUUUUAAUGACUCAUUCGGCGCCUUACG
Molecule: ribosomal RNA, 421 nt
Filed under: uncultured Glomeromycotina
Lineage: Eukaryota; Fungi; Glomeromycota
Description: SSU rRNA
Rfam family: Eukaryotic small subunit ribosomal RNA
Source: RNAcentral